GAGUGGCUAGCUCAAUUGGUAGAGCACCUGGCUUUUAACCAGGGGGUUGGGAGUUCAACUCUCCCGCCAUUCACCA
This 76-nucleotide transfer RNA is filed under the name Pseudomonas taiwanensis. RNAcentral's name for it is "tRNA-Lys". It matches the Rfam family "tRNA". From Rfam's summary of the family: Transfer RNA (tRNA) molecules are approximately 80 nucleotides in length. Lineage: Bacteria; Pseudomonadati; Pseudomonadota; Gammaproteobacteria; Pseudomonadales; Pseudomonadaceae. The record is from RNAcentral.